AUAUAAGUAAGCGGAGGAAGCUAAACUAAAUAGGACUUCCUGAGUAAUGGCGAAUGAACAGGAAAUAGCCCAGCAUGGAAAACAGAGCCUCCGGCUUUGAUGUGUAGUGUGGAUAUGCAUCGCCAACAAGGGUGCGGACAUAAGCCUCUUGGAACAGAGCACCACUGAAGGUGAGAGUCCUUGUAGAUUGUUUGCAACCCCUUGUGCACGGCAUGCAAUUUGAGAGUCACGUUCCUCGGAAUUGGAGCGCAAAGUGGGUGGUAAGCUUCAUCUAAUGCUUCGUAUGUGUUCGAGACCGAUAGCGCACAAGUA
This 312-nucleotide ribosomal RNA is filed under the name uncultured eukaryote. RNAcentral's name for it is "partial large subunit ribosomal RNA". It matches the Rfam family "Eukaryotic large subunit ribosomal RNA", at positions 40 to 350 of the family's 3401-position model. The record is from RNAcentral.